Molecule: long non-coding RNA, 687 nt
Organism: Neopelma chrysocephalum (saffron-crested tyrant-manakin)
Lineage: Eukaryota; Metazoa; Chordata; Aves; Passeriformes; Pipridae
Exons: 2
Source: RefSeq, a predicted model, not a curated record
ACCUGGGAGAAGAGAGGGACAACACGGAUGAAUCCCGUGGGAUAGCAAAAAGACUGGAGGAACCGGAGCAGGGCGGUCGCUUCCAGGCGGGAAUGGAGCCGGAGCGGGGGUGGAUUAAUUAGGGCGCUAAUUGGGGUGAUUUUCCGGCAGGAACAGCCGCUCCUUUGGAGAGAGGGAGAGGGAACGCGCGGAUCCAGGAUCCAACAAAACCCCUGGCACAGCCGUGGGAUCGUUGCCGGGAGCUGAAGGGCCCCACAGCCCCCGGAGCCACUUCCAAGGGCUCCCGGGAAAGUGGGAUCCAAUUUCCUCAUCCCGCUCUCCCAAGGCCUCUUCCCUCUCCUGCCGCCUCCGGGAGACCCCGCGGAGGGUGCAGGAUCCUGCGGUUCCCGGGAUUCUGGGGAAGCAGAAGGUGACAAGAACUCCUUCCUGAUAAUUAAUUAUCAGGAAUAUUAUUAAGAAUUAACAAUUCUCGAGGACUGAUGAGCAGGUUUCGAGCAGAGGAAGGAAGGAGAGGAGCUCUGAUCCCGCCUGCCUGGAUGGGAAUCCACGGGAAAGCCUUUUGGGAUCGUCCCUCACCACAGAAGGGGCCACGGCAGAACCCAGCCCAGGAAUCCCCCUCCCGACUGACCUGGGUUUUCAUUGGGAUAUUUACACCCCAACAUUAAUUAAAUAAGGAUUUUAAGCCUG